GUGGAUUCAAAAUCAUAAAAAGGUAAAUCAAAAGAAUAUUUGAGAUAAUCUAAUAAUAUAAUGAUUAUUUCACCGAUUCCUUAAUCAUUAGAAAAAAUAAAAGUACAAACUUGAAGCAACCUGAUAAUACAAAAGAAGGCCAGAUUUUUUGAUACAUGACGAGAGUCAUAUAAUGAGCUCAAAAUCAUCAUUUCUAUAUACAAAAUCAAGAGCUCAAUGAUAAAAUAGUAGUCUUAGUCGUUGAAAAGAAAUCCAAAUUCCACGAGCAAGAAGAAGAACAAGAUUGUGAAUUCCACAGUUAUCUCAGUCCGGAAAGGGAUCCAUGAUUCCAUGAGUGAUCUAAAUCGUCACGUCCACAAUAGCAGAAAAUGUACUGGAUUUUUUUAUUGUAGUCAAGACCUAAAUAACACCAAAUCAAGGACAAAAUGAUGUCAAAAUUGGUAAAGAAACAAGCUAAUGAGUCCAUAUUAAAGUUGUUACAUUUUUAUUGGCUUGCCUUUUAUAAGUGGUUCUUGUGUAUGGUGGGGAAGAAAUGAGUCUUCAAGGCCUUUUGUUACAGGAACUCCUAAUAAGUGCAGACUUCCAAAUCAGAACAGAGCAUCUUCAAUAUUAGUAAUAUUGCAUAAAAAGCCAUGGAAGUACAACACCCACCUUCUAUAUAUCUUGAAAAACCAUCACAAUAGCAAUUAAGCCACAAGCAUUGAAACAGAAAAAUCUUCAUCAACUCAUCCUUCCAUCUGGAACAACAAUCACAAUAGCAAUUAAACAUACGAAGUAAUUAUUUUAGGAAAAAUAGAGUUGUAUGGCUUUCAGAGGGGAUCCCACUGGUUUCUUUUAUGUUGUCUUAUUUUGCUUCUCUUUUGUCGGCUUCUAAUUUGGGAUUAUGUUAUGCUAGGUGAAGCCUAAAUCUAAAAAUAUUUGGAUUAAACUAUUGCUAUUUACCUGAUUUUCAUCAUCAUGAUCAUGAUUCCAGUAGAAAUUUUCAAAUUUGAUGAAGCCUAAAUCUAAAAAAUAUUUGGAUUAAACUAUCGCUAUUUACCUG
Molecule: long non-coding RNA, 1042 nt
Filed under: Vitis vinifera (wine grape)
Lineage: Eukaryota; Viridiplantae; Streptophyta; Magnoliopsida; Vitales; Vitaceae
Description: long non-coding RNA (VVIN_LNC003940)
Source: RNAcentral